UAAAAAUUUUUUGUUUAAAUAUUGGUAUUGCAUAUCAUUAAAAGAAAAUAUCAUUUUUAUGAAUAAUAGAAAUAAAAGGUAGAAAGAUUUAUAGUUUUAUUGUUUCAUAAUAAAAAAUAAAAUCUUUAGUGUUGAUAUGUCGACUUUUAUGAUAUCUGUAUUUUUGAGAAUAUUAGAAAAUUAUAUUUAUUUAUUAAUUAUUAAAAAUUAAAAAUUUGAAGUGUUUUUAUUUUAUGUUUUAUAACAUUUUUUAAUUAUUUUUACAUUGUUUUAUUAUUUAAUAAGUUUUUAUUAAAUAAAUAAUUUUUAAAUUAGUAUAUUUUUAAAUUUGGUUAUUUUUUAAAAUAUAAUUAAAGAACUUGAAGUCUUGAUCAAAUGUUUUUUAAAGACUUAGGCUUUUUAAUAAAGCUAGCUUCUGCCCUAUGAAUUUUUAAAUGGCAGUCUUAGCGUGAGGACAUUAAGGUAGCAAAAUAAUUUGUGCUUUUAUUAAGUUCCAGUAUGAAUGAAGUUAUUGGUUAGUUCUUUUUAUAUUUUAAUUUAGAAUUUAAUAUUUAUUUAAGAAAAAAUAAAUACAUUUAACAAAGAUAAGUCUUCGGAAAUUCUUUUAUUUAAAUUUCAUUAGUUAUUUAAAUAUAUUUUCUAGGGCAGAAUAUUAUAUAAUUUUUGUUACUAUUAAUAAUUUAAUGAAUUACUCCGGAGUUAACAGAAAAUCAUACCUAAUCUAGUUCUUAUAGUAAGGUAAGUUUUACAUCGAUGUUGUAUUCAAGUAAUCUAAGAGAGGAGAAGAUUUAGUUUUUUAGACUGUUCUUCUAUUAAUUAACUUGACGUGAUAUUAGUUUAAUUCAUUGUGAGAUAGAAUUGUUUAUCU
RNAcentral lists this ribosomal RNA (868 nucleotides) under Metarhabditis amsactae. RNAcentral describes it as "partial large subunit ribosomal RNA". The record is from RNAcentral. Lineage: Eukaryota; Metazoa; Nematoda; Chromadorea; Rhabditida; Rhabditidae.